CAGCGCCACAAGUGGUAAUCACGUUUAUUGGGCCUAAAGCGUCCGUAGCCGGUUUAGCAAAUCUUUUGUGAAAUCGUCAGGCUUAACUUGACGAAUUGCAGAAGACACUACUAAACUAGGGACUGGGAGGAGUCAGAAGUAUUCUGGGGGGACCGGUAAAAUGGUAUAAUCCCCAGAGGACUACCGAUGGCGAAGGCAUCUGACCAGAACAGAUCCGACGGUGAGGGACGAAAGCCAGGGGAGCAAACCGGAUUAGAUACCCGAGUAGUCC
This 271-nucleotide ribosomal RNA is filed under the name uncultured archaeon. RNAcentral's name for it is "partial 16S ribosomal RNA". It matches the Rfam family "Archaeal small subunit ribosomal RNA", at positions 477 to 747 of the family's 1478-position model. The record is from RNAcentral.